UGAUCCUCAGCUUGCUGGGGGGAUUAGUGGCGAACGGGUGAGUAACACGUGAGUAACCUGCCCUUGACUCUGGGAUAAGCCUGGGAAACCGGGUCUAAUACUGGAUAUGACCUUCCCACGCAUGUGGUGUUGGUGGAAAGCUUUUGUGGUUUUGGAUGGACUCGCGGCCUAUCAGCUUGUUGGUGGGGUAAUGGCUUACCAAGGCGACGACGGGUAGCCGGCCUGAGAGGGUGACCGGCCACACUGGGACUGAGACACGGCCCAGACUCCUACGGGAGGCAGCAGUGGGGAAUAUUGCACAAUGGGCGCAAGCCUGAUGCAGCGACGCCGCGUGAGGGAUGAAGGCCUUCGGGUUG
This 356-nucleotide ribosomal RNA is filed under the name uncultured Actinomycetes bacterium. RNAcentral describes it as "bacterial SSU rRNA". It matches the Rfam family "Bacterial small subunit ribosomal RNA", at positions 70 to 425 of the family's 1533-position model. The record is from RNAcentral. Lineage: Bacteria; Bacillati; Actinomycetota; Actinomycetes.